Molecule: long non-coding RNA, 239 nt
Filed under: Elaeis guineensis (African oil palm)
Lineage: Eukaryota; Viridiplantae; Streptophyta; Magnoliopsida; Arecales; Arecaceae
Description: long non-coding RNA (EGUI_LNC057793)
Source: RNAcentral
GAGAGGAGAGUGAAAAGGAUUUUAGAGAAAAAACAAAAAUUUUUGAGAGAUAGACCGCCGGUUUGGAGAAGAGGAUUUGAAGCUGGGGUAAGCUUGAUCCACCCAAAUGAAGAAGAAAAAGAAAGGAGAUUUAGUUCCUAAAAGGGUGAUUUGAAUGGGGAAACACGGUGGGAAGAGAGAUUUUAAGAGAAUUUUUGCAGUUGAGAGAGUAGAGAGGGAGGAGAUUUUUGUUUGGUGGG